This 498-nucleotide ribosomal RNA is filed under the name uncultured bacterium. RNAcentral describes it as "partial 16S ribosomal RNA". It matches the Rfam family "Bacterial small subunit ribosomal RNA", at positions 29 to 523 of the family's 1533-position model. The record is from RNAcentral.
AGUGAACGCUGGCGGUAGGCCUAACACAUGCAAGUCGAACGGUAACAGGUCUUCGGAUGCUGACGAGUGGCGAACGGGUGAGUAAUACAUCGGAACGUGCCUAGUAGUGGGGGAUAACUACUCGAAAGAGUGGCUAAUACCGCAUGAGAUCUACGGAUGAAAGCAGGGGAUCGCAAGACCUUGUGCUACUAGAGCGGCCGAUGACAGAUUAGGUAGGUGGUGGGAUAAAAGCUUACCAAGCCGACGAUCUGUAGCUGGUCUGAGAGGACGAUCAGCCACACUGGGACGGAGACACGCACCAGACUCCUACGGGAGGCAGCAGUGGGGAAUUUUGGACAAUGGGCGAAAGCCUGAUCCAGCAAUGCCGCGUGCAGGAUGAAGGCCUUCGGGUUGUAAACUGCUUUUGUACGGAACGAAAAGCCCCGGGUUAAUACCCUGGGGUCAUGACGGUACCGUAAGAAUAAGCACCGGCUAACUACGUGCCAGCCGCCGCAGUAA